AACUUUUGGCAACGGAUCACUUGGCUCGCGCAUCGAUGAAGAACGCAGCGAAAUGCGAUAAGUAAUGUGAAUUGCAGAUUUCAGUGAAUCAUCGAAUCUUUGAACGCACCUUGCGCUCCUUGGUAUUCCGAGGAGCAUGCCUGUUUGAGUGUCCUUAAUAUAAUCAACCUUCAACUUGUUUGAGUGGUUUGGAUGUGGGGGUUUGCUGGCCUUUCAAAAGGUUUCAGCUCCUCUGAAAUGCAUUAGCAGAACAAACCCUGUUCAUUGGUGUGAUAACUAUCUACGCUUAUGAAUGCGAGGGGCAGUUCAGCUUUCUAAUCGUCUUUGGACAAUUCAUCAUUAAUGUGACCUCAAAUCAGGUAGGACUACCCGCUGAACUUAAGCAUAUCAAUAAGCGGAGGAU
Molecule: unclassified non-coding RNA, 403 nt
Filed under: uncultured Cortinarius
Lineage: Eukaryota; Fungi; Basidiomycota; Agaricomycetes; Agaricales; Cortinariaceae
Description: sequence contains ITS2
Rfam family: 5.8S ribosomal RNA (bases 1-154)
Source: RNAcentral